RNAcentral lists this non-coding RNA (56 nucleotides) under Trypanosoma lewisi. Lineage: Eukaryota; Euglenozoa; Kinetoplastea; Trypanosomatida; Trypanosomatidae. The record is from RNAcentral.
AUUUAACAGAACAAUAAAAGAACGGGAAACUAUAAUCGAUAAAAUAGAUAAGAUGU